This 72-nucleotide transfer RNA is filed under the name Camelus bactrianus (Bactrian camel). It matches the Rfam family "tRNA". From Rfam's summary of the family: Transfer RNA (tRNA) molecules are approximately 80 nucleotides in length. RNAcentral also lists the same sequence under 1 other name. Lineage: Eukaryota; Metazoa; Chordata; Mammalia; Artiodactyla; Camelidae. The record is from Rfam by way of RNAcentral.
AAGGGCAUAACUUAGUGGCAGAGUGCGCACUUAGCACGCACGAGGUCCUGGGUGCAAUUCCCAGUGCCUCUG